GAUGAACGCUGGCGGCGUGCUUAACACAUGCAAGUCGAACGAACCUUCGGGUUAGUGGCGGACGGGUGAGUAACGCGUGGGAAUCUGCCCUCAGGAGGGGGAUAACGGUUGGAAACGGCCGCUAAUACCCCAUAUGCCGCGAGGUGAAAUGAAUUUCGCCUGAGGAUGAGCUCGCGUCUGAUUAGCUAGUUGGUGGGGUAAAGGCCUACCAAGGCAUCGAUCAGUAGCUGGUCUGAGAGGAUGAUCAGCCACACUGGGACUGAGACACGGCCCAGACUCCUACGGGAGGCAGCAGUGGGGAAUUUUGGACAAUGGGCGAAAGCCUGAUCCAGCAAUGCCGCGUGUGCGAUGAAGGCCUUCGGGUUGUAAAGCACUUUCAGUUGUGAAGAAAUGUAUGUAGUUAAUAGCUUCGUAAGCUGACGUUAACAACAAAAGAAGCACCGGCUAACUCUGUG
RNAcentral lists this ribosomal RNA (455 nucleotides) under uncultured bacterium. RNAcentral's name for it is "bacterial SSU rRNA". It matches the Rfam family "Bacterial small subunit ribosomal RNA", at positions 28 to 507 of the family's 1533-position model. The record is from RNAcentral.